GACCGCCCCUGUCCGGCGGUGCGGCUGCCCGCCUUAGCCCAACAUGGCGAUGCAUAACAAGGCUGCGCCGCCGCAGAUCCCGGACACCCGGCGGGAGCUGGCGGAGCUCGUGAAGCGGAAGCAGGAGCUGGCGGAAACGCUGGCGAACUUGGAGAGACAGAUCUAUGCCUUUGAAGGAAGCUACCUGGAAGACACUCAGAUGUAUGGCAAUAUCAUUCGUGGCUGGGAUAGGUAUCUGACCAACCAAAAAAACUCCAACAGCAAAAAUGAUCGCAGGAACCGGAAGUUCAAGGAAGCCGAGCGGCUCUUCAGCAAAUCCUCGGUUACAUCAGCAGCCGCAGUAAGUGCGUUGGCAGGAGUUCAGGACCAGCUCAUCGAAAAGAGGGAGCCAGGAAGUGGGACGGAAAGUGACACUUCUCCAGACUUCCACAAUCAGGAAAAUGAGCCCAACCAGGAGGACCCUGAGGAUCUGGAUGGAUCUGUGCAGGGAGUGAAACCUCAGAAGGCUGCUUCUUCCACUUCCUCAGGAAGUCAUCACAGCAGCCAUAAAAAACGAAAGAAUAAAAACCGGCACAGUGCGCGGUGAGAUAGGAAUGACAUCAGUGGACAGAGAGGCCAGGUGUUGCCCAAAGAGGGUUUUAGCAUUGACUCCGCUUGGGGUUUGUAUGAUCAUGCGAGGCCACUUAUCUCAGGUCACUGGAAAUUACACAGCUGCCUUCAGAGAGGGAAACGCAGUUUCCAAACGGAGAAGGCUUGGCCUGGCCUUAGACAUUUUGGGAGGCCUGGAGGCCAGGCGACCAGGAGGUCGGGCUCUUCUCUGGCUCCCCCAGGAGCCCUCAUGCCGAGGAGAGGAACGGGGGCCUGCAGGGGUGGGUGGGGCUCCCUGCGGUCCAUUCUGCUUCUGGAUCGGGUCACUUUGCACGUGGUAGGAUUUUCCUUCCUGCACCCAAGGUGUUAAAUUGUUAGCUCUGUGGGUGCAGCACAUGGGAAUAAUGCAGUAUUAACACUACUGGUUUAAGCCUCUUUGGAAUCUGUUGAUUCUUUCAUCUGUUAAGAGUUUUUCUUGAUGGGGGUGGUGGUUUUAGACUGCAGAAAUAGUAUUUCCUCCAGAUUGUGGCUAAGGACUGCCAGCUUAGCAUUUUUCUGCAAACCACAGAUCACCAGGCCGAUCUCACAAGCGCAGUAAGAAACAGUACAAAUGACAUAUCGGUUCUUUUCGUGAGGCUGCUUGUCUGAUCGCUGGGACGGGGCUGAUGCUGGCUUAUCACAAAGAGUAGCAGAGAACCACGCUCUUAAAAAUAUUUUUCAAAAUUGUCGAGAUGAUUAAAUGUCAUGCCCUGUGUUGCUUUUAUUAAAUACACUCCAGUGUCAUUUUAUAAUAGUAAUGCUGCUUUUCCUAUUUCAGUCUAGAGUAGGGGGAAUUCCAUUAACGUUUCUGGGACUUUUUUUGAAUUACUGAUGCCAAUAGACACUCUGUAGAUGGCUCUUGUUUAUUUCAGGUAAUACCUCAUUUCCCUCUGACAUGAUUAGCUGCUGAUAAAAUAGAAUCAGGCAUUGAAUUUAACUUCUUGCGGGUUCCUAGUAGAUUUCUGUAGGGACUGCACUUCUUUCUACCCUUUUUUGUCCUGGCCCUGGAAGCUAACUCCUUCCAGAAAAAUACUAGGAUUUAUGAAGAUCUUUGUAUUGUUUUUACAAAUGGUGUUUUCUGUUUGGGAAGCAGGGUCCUUUGACCAUUUCCCUGUUUUAAUCUGCCUGAGCCUGCCCCACCGUGGCAGAGUGGAGCGGACCUACCCCCGUCUGGGGAAAGCAGGUGGAGUGUGCCUGACUGGCAGCUCAGUGGCCGGUUACGGCUCUCAGAGCCCUGCCAUCUGUAGUCGGGAAGUGCACCUGGCCCCCAGCCUGCGCCCGACUGAUGUCUGAGUGAGUGUGGCAGUGCGGGGCUGGGCGCGGCACUCUGUGCACGUUGUGAGCUCGCCCCGAGUGGCGCUGUUCGUCCUCUGGCCAGCCGCACCCGUGUGUUGGGAUGAGGCCAGCAGCGAACCACUGCCACGAGCGUCUGAGUACCUGCUCUGUGCCAGGCAUCGUCUAGUGGUGGGUGGAGCAAAAUGGAAAUAAAUAUGGUUCUUCAGCAAAAAGGAAUAACUUCUGAAUUUGUCCUCUUUAGGAAUAUGAAAAUUUAUCAGAUAGUUUUUAGCAUUCAUAACUGAUCACAAUUCACUGUUCAGAAUUUUUAUAUUUUACAUCCUAUCUGAUUAAGUUUCAGUAUCUCUAAAGAAAAAACGUUGAAAUAAUAACUUCCAGCCACUCUUUUAGGUUUUUAUUUCCAUGCCAAACUCCAGAACUCCUCUAGGUUGUCUGUGAAGUUGUCAUUGGGUAGGUACUGUCCACUUGGUGAACAAAGUUAAGUGAUGCUGAAAGUUAAAUUUUCGGUGGUUCUUGGUUUGUACACUUACUUUAUACUCUUUCCCAAGUGGCCCGGGUGCAGCUGCUGCACAAGGACAUGGGUGCCGGGCUCACUCCCCCUUCACUCCCGCAGACACUGACUGGGAGGGGAAGAGCCGUUGGCGUGUUGUUCUACCGCCCUUGUGCAGUCGGGAGGUCGGAGCAGCGGGAGCCGGCGUUGUGCGAGGGGCGGGCGUUUGCUCGGGAGGCCCGCCCAGACCCCCGGCCCGUGGGCCUGGCGGCUUACGCGGCUUUCUCCUCGGAUGGCUGCCCUCCGGGUCCCUGAGCCCUGGGUGCCUGUGGGUGUCAACUUCCCUUUGUUUUCAUAGGGGUGCAGCCCUGAUGUAAACAGUUAACUGCCAUCACCAGUUCAGGCUCCGCAGUUUCUGGAACAAGACUCACCUGUCACUGAAGUGCAUUCCACUCCUGGCUCCUAGAAUGAGUGCUGUAGAAAAGGACCACGUUUAGAACCUAUAACUCGUUUAGAACAUGUGACUUGUUUCGAACAUAAUACUUGAGUUAAAAGUUGCAAAAAGUUUUUUAAAUGUAUGUAUAUUAGGUUAGGCUGGGAAGUUUUUUUUAAAAACAGAAAAACGUGAUGGAGGAUUGAUCUGAAGUUAAACAAAAAACCACGAGCCGACUAUUAGAAGACUCAUUCGUGCAGAAGCUUCCAGGCCGCAGCGCCUUGCCUCCCUCCUCCGGACUCACAAAGACACACCUCCCUUGCCCGAGUGCGUGGCUGUCCCGCUCUGCGUUCCCAGACCCAGUGCCUGUGACUGAGUAGUUCCUUCUGAAAUGUGGUGACAAGUCAUUUCCGUGAGACCACACCGGAUCAUUUGCUUUGUGUCAUUUUUAGUAACAGAACUGCGGGGAGACCGUGACAUGGUUCCAGUCCCAGCACGUUGCUGAGUCUCUCCCUUCCUGGAAUGAACGUCUGCCCCCGAGACUGGCCGGCCUCAGCUGCAUCUGUGGUCCCCGUCGAGAAAUGUUCUCUGCUUUUGUGCUGGAAGGAGAGCAGAGGUCGCAUUUCAGAUGGAGGCUGUCAAUACCGGGCAUUUUCUUAUUUCGUUUGUGUUUUACCAUUUUUCUAUUGUUUUUACCAUUUUACUUUCUUUUGGGACUUUUUGUAAUGACUUCGUACAGCUCAUACCUUCCUGCGGACGUAUCUAACAAGCUGUUUCGCAGAGUUGCCGAUGUUCUUGAACGGAAAGUAGUCCGGGUCGCCAAAAAUAAAAUGGGGAACUUGGCUCUUUGGUUUUGCGCAGGGGAAAGGUAAAGUGUUUAUUUAAUGAUUACCUCCCUGAACUCUUUCUGAAUUGGAAGCAGUUUCCAUGUUGAAGGAAUAGAAAAAGCUGAAAAACAUAAGUUUUAAUCAGUCCUUUUAAAAUAUUUUUAUUCUUUUAUAUAAAUAAAGUAUCACAGGGUUUGACUUCUCAUGCUUUACUCUGAAACCUGAGGGGUUUUUUUUCACUUAUUUAUUUGUAUCAUGCCUUGUGGAAAUUUUUUUCCCAUCUUAUCUCUCUCUGCUGGUAUUGCCUGAUUAAAUAGUGCUUUAAAAAUCACUAAGGCGUAUGGAAGGGCUGAAAAUUGCACCCAAGGCUGAUAACACGCGGAGUUCUUGAACAGAGUGAAAGACGGGUCAGUGGGAGCUGGCAGUGCCCACGGGUCCCUGUUCUCACUGCGGGGCCGGGGAACUGGCUGAUGGUGGUUAGCAGCCUCUGGAGCAGUGGUGCCCUCCCUCGGCUGCACGCUGGAAUCACCUGGGAAGUUUAAAAAAUACUGAUGCCUGGGCCCCACCCCCAGAAACUCUGGGCUGGGGUACAGUCUCAUGGUGGGGAUUUCCUUUCCAAGACUCCCCGGGAUUCUGAUAGGAAGCCAAGUUGGGAAUUACUGUCCUCUGCCCUGGGAGACUGGCUAGUGCGACUUAAACCCCGUGUUGUGACUCAGUCUUAGGGACGAGACUUGGGGGCCUCACCUCUCCUUUGACUCUAUUUAGUCAUAGUCCUUAUGCCUAUAUCUCUGUUAGAAAAAAAUAUGUUCCAUCUGUGAUAAUAUUGGUAGAGCUGAAUGUGGUGGCGUUGAUUAUCAAAACAAUUCUACCUUGUCUGUGCAAAAGCUUUCACUCUUGUUCUCAAAUAAACCUUUUUCUUCUUU
This is an RNA transcript of Artibeus jamaicensis (Jamaican fruit-eating bat), 4596 nucleotides long. It is a transcript of the gene named MYST/Esa1 associated factor 6, with no coding region annotated. Lineage: Eukaryota; Metazoa; Chordata; Mammalia; Chiroptera; Phyllostomidae. The record is from RefSeq and is a predicted model, not a curated record. The transcript has 9 exons.